RNAcentral lists this ribosomal RNA (253 nucleotides) under uncultured bacterium. RNAcentral describes it as "partial 16S ribosomal RNA". It matches the Rfam family "Bacterial small subunit ribosomal RNA", at positions 524 to 776 of the family's 1533-position model. The record is from RNAcentral.
UACGGAGGGUGCAAGCGUUGCUCGGAAUUACUGGGCGUAAAGCGCGUGUAGGCGGCCUUGUAUGUCUGAUGUGAAAGCCCCGGGCUCACCCCGGGAAGUGCAUUGGAAACUGCAAGGCUAGAGUCCCGGAGAGGGAGGUGGAAUUCCAGGUGUAGCGGUGAAAUGCGUAGAUAUCAGGAGGAACACCUGCGGUGUAGACGGCUUACUGGACCAUGACUGACGCUGAGGCACGAAAGCGUGGGGAGCAAACAGG